ACUCCUACGGGAGGCAGCAGUGGGGAAUAUUGCACAAUGGGCGCAAGCCUGAUGCAGCCAUGCCGCGUGUGUGAAGAAGGCCUUCGGGUUGUAAAGCACUUUCAGUCGUGAGGAAGGUAGUGUAGUUAAUAGCUGCAUUAUUUGACGUUAGCGACAGAAGAAGCACCGGCUAACUCCGUGCCAGCAGCCGCGGUAAUACGGAGGGUGCGAGCGUUAAUCGGAAUUACGUGGGCGUAAAGCGCAUGCAGGUGGUUGUUAAGUCAGAUGUGAAAGCCCGGGGCUCAACCUCGGAAUAGCAUUUGAAACUGGCAGACUAGAGUACUGUAGAGGGGGUAGAAUUUCAGGUGUAGCGGUGAAAUGCGUAGAGAUCUGAAGGAAUACCGGUGGCGAAGGCGGCCCCUGGACAGAUACUGACACUCAGAUGCGAAAGCGUGGGAGCAAACAGGAUUAGAUACCCCUGGUAGACUGUCA
This 471-nucleotide ribosomal RNA is filed under the name uncultured bacterium. Its description in RNAcentral is "bacterial SSU rRNA". It matches the Rfam family "Bacterial small subunit ribosomal RNA", at positions 335 to 802 of the family's 1533-position model. The record is from RNAcentral.